GUGAGUGUAGCUCAAUGGUCAGAGCACUGGACUGUGGCUCCAGGUGUUGGGGGUUCGAGUCCCCUCACUCACCCCA
RNAcentral lists this transfer RNA (76 nucleotides) under Pseudomonadota bacterium. RNAcentral's name for it is "tRNA-His". It matches the Rfam family "tRNA". From Rfam's summary of the family: Transfer RNA (tRNA) molecules are approximately 80 nucleotides in length. Their secondary structure includes four short double-helical elements and three loops (D, anti-codon, and T loops). RNAcentral also lists the same sequence under 1 other name. The record is from RNAcentral. Lineage: Bacteria; Pseudomonadati; Pseudomonadota.